CGCAGUGUCUUUGAUUAUUGUAUAAUUAAUAACAUUUACCACAACAGAGUCAGUGUGCUUGCCCCCUACUUGGGUUUGUUUGCUCAUGAAAAGGUAUGCAGCAGAUCCUCAUCCCCUUCAUGGGCUUUAAGCGAGAAGAUGUCAGUAGGUGCGUUGGUGGUGCCGUUAACAGUACUGUGCUUAGGUCGUCUGUUAGUGGAGCCCUUGUGGUGAUCCAGAUAGAUCACGAUCACAGUGAUGUCAUCAUGGAAAUGGCGCCUUAUUCCUUUUUCUAUUCUCUUAAUGUCCUGGUAACUCAUCUCCCUCUUCUUUGCAGCCUCAUGAAGUGCAGC
Molecule: long non-coding RNA, 332 nt
Filed under: Vitis vinifera (wine grape)
Lineage: Eukaryota; Viridiplantae; Streptophyta; Magnoliopsida; Vitales; Vitaceae
Description: long non-coding RNA (VVIN_LNC000725)
Source: RNAcentral